This 466-nucleotide ribosomal RNA is filed under the name uncultured bacterium. RNAcentral describes it as "partial 16S ribosomal RNA". It matches the Rfam family "Bacterial small subunit ribosomal RNA", at positions 28 to 507 of the family's 1533-position model. The record is from RNAcentral.
GAUGAACGCUGGCGGCGUGCUUAACACAUGCAAGUCGAACGGAAAGGCUCCUGCUUGCAGGGGUACACGAGUGGCGAACGGGUGAGUAACACGUGGGUGAUCUGCCCUGCACUUCGGGAUAAGCCUGGGAAACUGGGUCUAAUACCGGAUAGGACGAUGGUUUGGAUGCCAUUGUGGAAAGUUUUUUCGGUGUGGGAUGAGCUCGCGGCCUAUCAGCUUGUUGGUGGGGUAAUGGCCUACCAAGGCGUCGACGGGUAGCCGGCCUGAGAGGGUGUACGGCCACAUUGGGACUGAGAUACGGCCCAGACUCCUACGGGAGGCAGCAGUGGGGAAUAUUGCACAAUGGGCGCAAGCCUGAUGCAGCGACGCCGCGUGGGGGAUGACGGCCUUCGGGUUGUAAACUCCUUUCGCUAGGGACGAAGCGCAAGUGACGGUACCUGGAGAAGAAGCACCGGCUAACUACGUG